AAAUCUAUAAGUCUUAAAUCUUUAAUUAAAUCAGUGAUUUAAUCUAUUUGGGUUCUUGCCGAACUGCUCGGGUACAAUAAAUUCCCAGUUUAUUUUCUUUAAGUAUUUUGAAAUACUUACUUGGCUAAUAAAGUUCCCAUCUGAGUAUUUAUUGAAUACUAUUUCAACACAGCUUAAUAAAUUUCUUUUCUUCUGUGGCUUAGGGAAAUUUCUCUUCUAAAUUCCUGUAUUCAUUUAGGGUGAUGGUCCAUUAAACUAAUUAUAAUGGCCUAGCAUUUUAGCAACAGGCCCAGAACCCUUUUUUUUGCAGUGACCCAAAAUUUAAAUGGAGACAAAUUUCUUUAUUUUUCCUGGCCCAAAUAUACUCCCCAAACUGUCAGGGCCCUUUUUGAAAAAUGAUCUCUCCAGGCCCAACUCAAAAUUAAAGAGGGAGGCCCAAGUCACAUUAUUCUCCUUGUCCGUCACUCUCUUUCUCUCCAUUUCCACAUUUUUGAAGAAAAAUCCCCAAUUGAGAAGUCAAAACCCUAGCUUCUUCCCUCGGUGACCCCCACCGCCGCCCGUCGUUCGCCGUCGUCCCGGCGCUUUCGAAACGGAGAAAGGGCAUCGCCUCUCGGGAAACCGCCGUUGCUUGACUCAAGGUUGCUGUCUGGCGUAAAUAGCGGUGCACGCUCCGGCAGCGGCUUUGCCGCCGUGCUCCUUUCCUCACGACGGAGAGUCAUCGCCGGUUGCUCCCCGGCGUUCAGCAGCGCCGCGCGACCGUCGCGGUUCAGCCCGCCACCAUGGGGUUCUCAGCCUCUCGGCGAGCCCUCCGUCGACGUCGCGCCACCGACGGACAACCUCUCCCUAAGCUAAGUUUUCUGCCUUCUAUUACUUUGCUUGUUUCGUGGGUUUUGUUUGGCAAAGCUAUGAAAAAUCUAUUCAUGACUAUUGGUGAUGUUCAAGCUUUGAUCUUGUGAGAGUUCGAUUACUGUGCCCAUUAAAUUGGUUCUUAGCAGAAGCUUUAUGUUGUGAUCCUUGGCAGAAAUUUAGCUCAUUAGAAUGAAUCUUUACAUAGAUGUGCUACACAUUCCCCUACUGACUGUUAUGGUUUGGCUAUUGGUUAUUUCUAUGGCUUCUUAAGUGAUCAUGCUUCUAUGAUUCUAAGUUCUUGGCUAUUUAUGGUGCAUUCUCUAAAUGAUGCAAGAGUGUAUUGUGGGGUUACUUACUGAGAAAUGGGCCGUGAGGUUGUGGGAUCUCCGGCCGAGCUUAGAAUGAACUCUCUCUGUUUUGUUCUGCUGCUGGAACGUUGUGGGAAUGUGGAGAGAAUUUGGGUGAGCAUGGAGGGGUUCUCUUAUAGGCCGAGAUGUGUACUUGUGGAGAAUUAAUGGGGCUGCUGUAUAUUCUUGUUUUCAUCUUACAGCAACUUUAACUGAAAUUGGCUCCUUGUGGGUACUUAGUACUUGGAUUCAUAAAUGAAACUUGAUCUGUUGUGGCAGGUGUACAAGAAAGGGGGCCGAGGUGGUUAUCUGCAGCUCUACAAGGCUGCUGCAGCUGGAGUGUAGGGUUGUUGCAGUUUUACUCUCUUUUCCUGGCUCGUGGCAGCCUGCAGUUGUGGCUAAGGAGUGCAGUGGCACUUCCAUCUUGUCUUGCUUAUUUGGCAAGUGUUUCUUUUUUUUUGGGUCCCCAUCAAAGGGGCAAAGGGAAUUGAUUUCAGACGGCUGUCACCUUGACGUCUCGGGCCCAACGGACCCUAGAAAAACCUGGGCCGAAGACUUGUGUCGAAAGGGCCAAAGCUAGAUGUUCCCUAUUGUAAUAGGAUAGUGAGUCUCCCCUUUUCUUUUAUCUCAACAUGUACGAAGAGUCUACUAUAAUUGAAAUUAAUGUGUUUCUGUUUCCUUUGUUCUCUUUGAAUAUUUGUAAACUUUAGCUUGAAAUAAUAAAAUGUUGUGUUGCUCAAGAAUUAAAUAAAUAUUAUUUAUUUCUCUUUA
Molecule: long non-coding RNA, 1967 nt
Organism: Salvia splendens (bonfire salvia)
Lineage: Eukaryota; Viridiplantae; Streptophyta; Magnoliopsida; Lamiales; Lamiaceae
Exons: 2
Source: RefSeq, a predicted model, not a curated record